This is a non-coding RNA of Paramisgurnus dabryanus, 1153 nucleotides long. The record is from RefSeq and is a predicted model, not a curated record. NCBI's taxonomy places the organism in Eukaryota, Metazoa, Chordata, Actinopteri, Cypriniformes, Cobitidae.
UACGACAGGCACUGUCAUUGUGUGAAUUAUUAAUGAUAUAGUGAUCCAAGCAUUACGUCGAGUUUGCCGUAAGCUUACCUCAUAGCCAUCAUAAGCCAGGUACGCUGACGGAAGGGUAACGUAACCACACGGAAGAGCCAAAAAGUACUAUGGAGGAAUACAAACGCAAAAGCAGCAGCAGUAACAACAACAACAGAAAACAGUUUUGUUAGAUAAAUGGCCUUGGGCAAAAGUCUUUAUAACUGCAAUAACAUAAGUUAGUGGAAACAGUGUCAGGCUUUCCCAGAUGGAGACAAUAUAGUGAGAUUAUUCACCCAGUGUUUAUUCACAAGAUUGACCGAAGCUUAUUUAGAUGACCAAAUUAUGAACAAUGACCCACCCUGAGGCUGUAAGCGUGUGCCUGAUGAGAGAAUGCGUACUUGAAGCAGUUAUAGGACUUAAUAUAUUCAAGAAGACCAAGCGAUCCUUAUAGGACUACAUGCAAAGCAAUGUAUUCCAGACCGCACAACUGGACAUACAGAUUGUGCCCUGAUGCCAUCUGCCCCGUUCUCCCAGCCUCAUCUUCCCUCUCCAGGGUUUCCGCGGGGUUGUAAAAGGUAGUAAAAGCUUCACAUCGGUUGGCUCUUCUUUGGCUCUCUUCAUCCCGUCUGCCUGCCUCGCUGCUCUCCCUGAUAACAUUUCCUGACUGAUGCCUUGCACUCUGACUCUUUCUGCAAGGUGCCAUUCUCAGCAGUGACUCAAUUUAGUGCCACCCUGCUGCUUGGCAUUGCACUUCUGAGGUCAUCACCAUCUUUCUUCAGCCAACCAAAAUGAUUCUCACCAACCACCCCAGCUCUGCUAAGCUUGAUGUUGGAGGUCUGCUGUUUUUGAAGCAGGGGACCACUGUCCAUUAAAGGCUUCAUAAACCAUUUAACAAAAUCACAUAAGAUAGGGUAGUUCAUACUCCAUGCGAUGUGCCAUACAAUGGAAGGGCCAUGUUCCUUAUCACAUCUGGAUACUGCAAAGCUCCUGUCUCCUCAACAAGUUACGAACUAAUCAAUUAUUAAAUGAUGAAAUGCUAUGGAAAAGCAAAGAUAUUUCUUCCUGUGGAGUUUGAGUCUUAAAUUUAGUAAUUACUGUUUAAUGGCAUAAAUAAAAGUUAAAUAUUAUGUUA